RNAcentral lists this ribosomal RNA (397 nucleotides) under uncultured bacterium. RNAcentral describes it as "partial 16S ribosomal RNA". It matches the Rfam family "Bacterial small subunit ribosomal RNA", at positions 523 to 918 of the family's 1533-position model. The record is from RNAcentral.
AUACGUAGGUGACAAGCGUUAUCCGGAUUUACUGGGCGUAAAGGGCGUGUAGGCGGUCUUGCAAGUCAGAAGUGAAAUUCCUGAGCUCAACUCGGGCGCUGCUUCUGAAACUGCAGGACUUGAGUGCUGGAGGGGAUAGCGGAAUUCCUAGUGGAGCGGUAAAAUGCGCAGAUAUUAGGAAGAACACCGGUGGCGAAGGCGGCUAUCUGGACAAUAACUGACGCUGAGGCGCGAAAGCGUGGGGAGCAAACAGGAUUAGAUACCCGGGUAGUCCACGCCGUAAACGAUGAAUACUAGGUGUAGGGGGUAUCGACUCCCUCUGUGCCGCAGUUAACACAAUAAGUAUUCCGCCUGGGGAGUACGGCCGCAAGGUUGAAACUCAAAGGAAUUGACGGGG